RNAcentral lists this ribosomal RNA (512 nucleotides) under Oreina speciosa. RNAcentral's name for it is "partial 16S ribosomal RNA". It matches the Rfam family "Bacterial large subunit ribosomal RNA", at positions 1830 to 2604 of the family's 2925-position model. Lineage: Eukaryota; Metazoa; Arthropoda; Insecta; Coleoptera; Chrysomelidae. RNAcentral also lists the same sequence under 1 other name. The record is from RNAcentral.
UCCUUUUGUAGAUAAUCUAAGGUCUAGCCUGCCCACUGAAGUUUUAAAUGGCCGUGGUAUUUUGACCGUGCUAAGGUAGCAUAAUCAUUAGUUUUUUAAUUAAAAACUGGAAUGAAAGGUUGGAUGAGAAAAUAGCUGUCUCUAUUAAAUUUAAUUAGAAUUUUAUUUUUAAGUUAAAAAGCUUAGUUAUUGUUAAAAGACGAGAAGACCCUAUAGAGUUUAAUUAUUUAGUAAAAAUUAUAUUUUAGUAUUAAUUUAUUUAUUUUAUUAAAUAAUUUAAUUGGGGUGAUUGAAAAAUUUAAUUAACUUUUUUUAUUUAAUAACAUUAAUUUAUGAAUAAAUGAUCCAAUAUUUUUGAUUAUAAGAUAAAAUUACCUUAGGGAUAACAGCGUAAUUUUUUUAGAAAGUUCAUAUUAAAAAAAAAGAUUGCGACCUCGAUGUUGGAUUAAAAUAAAUUUUUGGUGUAGAAGCUAAAAUAUUAGGUCUGUUCGACCUUUAAAAUUUUACAUGAU